GGCCCCGUAGCUUAGCCUGGUGGAGCGUACGACUGAUAAUCGUAAGGUCCCGUGUUCAAAAAAAUUCUGAAAAUCACGGCGGGGCCA
This 87-nucleotide transfer RNA is filed under the name Candidatus Woesearchaeota archaeon. RNAcentral describes it as "tRNA-Ile". It matches the Rfam family "tRNA". Rfam says of the family: Transfer RNA (tRNA) molecules are approximately 80 nucleotides in length. Their secondary structure includes four short double-helical elements and three loops (D, anti-codon, and T loops). Further hydrogen bonds mediate the characteristic L-shaped molecular structure. tRNAs have two regions of fundamental functional importance: the anti-codon, which is responsible for specific mRNA codon recognition, and the 3' end, to which the tRNAs corresponding amino acid is attached (by aminoacyl-tRNA synthetases). tRNAs cope with the degeneracy of the genetic code in two manners: having more than one tRNA (with a specific anti-codon) for a particular amino acid; and 'wobble' base-pairing, i.e. permitting non-standard base-pairing at the 3rd anti-codon position. The record is from RNAcentral. Lineage: Archaea; Nanobdellati; Candidatus Woesearchaeota.